Molecule: transfer RNA, 73 nt
Filed under: Treponema sp.
Lineage: Bacteria; Pseudomonadati; Spirochaetota; Spirochaetia; Treponematales; Treponemataceae
Description: tRNA-Trp
Rfam family: tRNA
About the family: Transfer RNA (tRNA) molecules are approximately 80 nucleotides in length. Their secondary structure includes four short double-helical elements and three loops (D, anti-codon, and T loops).
Source: RNAcentral
AGGCGUAUAGCUCAGCUGGUAGAGCGGCGGUCUCCAAAACCGCAGGUCGCGGGUUCGAAGCCUGCUGCGCCUG